Molecule: ribosomal RNA, 253 nt
Filed under: uncultured bacterium
Lineage: Bacteria
Description: partial 16S ribosomal RNA
Rfam family: Bacterial small subunit ribosomal RNA
Source: RNAcentral
GACGAACCGUGCGAACGUUGUUCGGAAUCACUGGGCUUAAAGGGCGCGUAGGCGGGUUGCCGCGUCCGGGGUGAAAUCCCACGGCUCAACCGUGGAACGGCCUCGGAUACGGGCGACCUCGAGGGGGGUAGGGGCAUCUGGAACUGUGAGUGGAGCGGUGAAAUGCGUUGAUAUUCACAGGAACUCCGGUGGCGAAGGCGAGGUGCUGGACCCCAUCUGACGCUGAGGCGCGAAAGCCAGGGGAGCGAACGGG